This 292-nucleotide ribosomal RNA is filed under the name uncultured bacterium. Its description in RNAcentral is "partial 16S ribosomal RNA". It matches the Rfam family "Bacterial small subunit ribosomal RNA", at positions 505 to 796 of the family's 1533-position model. The record is from RNAcentral.
GUGUCAGCCGCCGCGGUAAUACGUAGGACCCGAGCGUUGUCCGGAUUUACUGGGUAUAAAGGGUGCGUAGGCGGCCUUGUGCGUCAGAGGUGAAAUAUCCGGGCUUAACCCGGAGGGUGCCUUUGAUACGGCAGGGCUUGAGUGCGAGAGAGGAUGAUGGAAUUCCUGGUGUAGCGGUGAAAUGCGUAGAUAUCAGGAGGAACACCGGUGGCGAAGGCGGUCAUCUGGCUCGUAACUGACGCUGAGGCACGAAAGCGCGGGGAUCAAACAGGAUUAGAUACCCUUGUAGUCC